Long non-coding RNA from Gallus gallus (chicken), 1691 nucleotides. Lineage: Eukaryota; Metazoa; Chordata; Aves; Galliformes; Phasianidae. The record is from Ensembl.
CCGCCCGCGCCGCGGGGCGAGGUGAGGUGAGCGCCCGCUCCUGCCAUGGCGGCGCUGCGGGACGUCUUUCGGCGGCCUUUCGGCGGCCCGCUCGCGGUGGGUUUCAGUUCCCCGGGCAGCGAGCCGACGGCAGCGGUGGUGUCCGUCAGCGCCUGUCCUGCGCCCCCGGCCUGCCGAAGAUCCCUUUGGAAGCGAAAAAACUGCUUUGAAGCAUCUAGGGGAAGCAGGCGGGAAUUUACUAUAAAUUUCUCACAGGUACAGCAGCUCUACAGAAGCAGCUUAAUUUCCCCCCGGCCGGCUGCAGGCAGUCAGCACAGCCACUCACCUCCGCGAGGCGCUGCCCCCCGAGCUCUGCUGCUGGCCGCGCUCGGUGCGGGACACGCGGUGCAGAAAGUGCCAUUUAGGAGUCUGCGCCAUACGGAUCGCGGGGCCAUUAUAAAGCCGGGCUGUGUCUGUGCUGUGCAUUCUCUGAGCUUGUUGGAGUGUGUUUGUUCACCUUUCUGUUUCGAGCGGUAGUGCGAAAAUCAUCGUUAACUUCAACACGCAUAAUUUGUGUUUCCUUUUCAGACCCUUUGUGGCGUAUCAUAAUGCUGGCCAAUCUCGUAUUUUUUCUUUGCCUGGCUAUUAAUGCUGCUUCUUAGCUUCUUCUCAUUCUCUAGUCAUACACGAUCCUGCCCCUCUGUGCUGUGGGGCCUCACCUGGAGUACUGCUUACAGAUGUGGAGUCCUCAGUACAGGAGAGACACGGACCUGUUGGAGGGUGUCCAGAGGAGGGCCACAAAAAUAAUCCCAGGGAUGGAACACCUCUCCUGUGAGGACAGGCUGGGAGAGCUGGGGCUGUUCAGCCUGGAGAAGGCACUGGGGAAACCUGAGAGUGGUCUUUCAGUAUCUAAAGGGGGGCUGUAAGAAGGAAGGGGACAGACUUUUUAGUAGGGUCUGUUGUGAAUUGGAAUUUCACACUUGGAAUUUCAUCACCCCAAUAGAAAUCAGGAGAGGGAAAUUGGUUUUGUGUGCCUCUGCAGAUAGGUCAGCAGUGGACAGGACCCAGUGACAGACAUAGAAGAGUUUGGUGCUUCUGACAACAGUGGAGCGUCGCUGAGGAUCCCAGAGCUGUGACUGCAGUUUUCCAAUUCGCAGGCUGUCUUGGCAGUAGAGGAAAUGUGAAGAAGAGCUAUGUGUCAUUUGAAUAGUGCUGUCAUCUUACCAAUUACUACUAUAGCUGCUGUACACAGGUGUUGCAAGGUCAUACCUUCACCCAUCCGAGGCAAAGACAUGAUGUUAUCUGCCUGAAAAUAUCUGUCUGGGCAAUCCUUCAACGAGACUUCUCCCACACAUCAAUCCAACUUUCUUUUUUCUCCUGUAACUUCUUGCUUCUUUCAUGUUGCACAAGAGGUUCCCUAAAACAUUAAUUUUUCCUCCUCCAGAUUCCUACACUUGAAUUGAAUAGAAUUUGGAGUGGUAUGAAGUGCCUCACACAGAGAAGAACCAGCAUUUUGAAGGACCUGCAGGUGCUGCUACCUGAAGGUUAGUUUAACAACUGAAAAUACUCUAUCGUGAAUGGCCUCAAUAUAUCAUUCAGGUGGAAGCUAAAGGGAAGAGCCUAGAUCAUGGUGAUGUUGGCUGUACAUGUUCGUGCUUCUGUGUGGAAUCAGGGACACCUGCUUCUUGGUCUGCUGCUGCUUCAGCUUCUUG